Molecule: ribosomal RNA, 279 nt
Filed under: Clostridioides difficile
Lineage: Bacteria; Bacillati; Bacillota; Clostridia; Peptostreptococcales; Peptostreptococcaceae
Description: partial 16S ribosomal RNA
Rfam family: Bacterial small subunit ribosomal RNA
Source: RNAcentral
CCGUAAGGUGGAGCUAAUCCCUUAAAGCUACUCUCAGUUCGGAUUGUAGGCUGAAACUCGCCUACAUGAAGCUGGAGUUACUAGUAAUCGCAGAUCAGAAUGCUGCGGUGAAUGCGUUCCCGGGUCUUGUACACACCGCCCGUCACACCACGGGAGUUGGAGACGCCCGAAGCCGAUUAUCUAACCUUUUGGAAGAAGUCGUCGAAGGUGGAAUCAAUAACUGGGGUGAAGUCGUAACAAGGUAGCCGUAUCGGAAGGUGCGGCUGGAUCACCUCCUUU